GUUUUGUAAAUAAUACCUGUCUCC
Molecule: non-coding RNA, 24 nt
Filed under: Cricetulus griseus (Chinese hamster)
Lineage: Eukaryota; Metazoa; Chordata; Mammalia; Rodentia; Cricetidae
Source: RNAcentral